CCUACGGGAGGCAGCAGUGGGGAAUAUUGGACAAUGGGGGGAACCCUGAACCAGCGACGCCGCGUGAGUGAAGAAGUAUUUCGGUAUGUAAAGCUCUAUCAGCAGGGAAGAAAGGAAUGACGGUACCUGACUAAGAAGCCCCGGCUAACUACGUGCCAGCAGCCGCGGUAAUACGUAGGGGGCAAGCGGUAUCCGGAUUUACUGGGUGUAAAGGGAGCGUAGACGGUUACGCAAGUCUGGAGUGAAAGGCGGGGGCCCAACCCCCGGACUGCUGUGGAAACUGUAUAACUGGAGUGGAGGAGAGGUAAGUGGAAUUCCUGGUGUAGCGGUGAAAUGCGUAGAUAUUAGGAGGAACACCAGUGGCGAAGGCGGCUUACUGGACUGUAACUGACGUUGAGGCUCGAAAGCGUGGGGAGCAAACAGGAUUAGAUACCCUGGUAGUC
This 443-nucleotide ribosomal RNA is filed under the name uncultured bacterium. RNAcentral's name for it is "partial 16S ribosomal RNA". It matches the Rfam family "Bacterial small subunit ribosomal RNA", at positions 338 to 795 of the family's 1533-position model. The record is from RNAcentral.